This 394-nucleotide ribosomal RNA is filed under the name uncultured bacterium. RNAcentral describes it as "partial 16S ribosomal RNA". It matches the Rfam family "Bacterial small subunit ribosomal RNA", at positions 338 to 730 of the family's 1533-position model. The record is from RNAcentral.
CCUACGGGAGGCAGCAGUGAGGAAUAUUGGUCAAUGGUCGUGAGACUGAACCAGCCAAGCCGCGUGAGGGAUGAAGGUACUGAGUAUCGUAAACCUCUUUUGUCAGGGAACAAAGGCGGGGACGUGUCCCCGGAUGAAUGUACCCGAAGAAUAAGCAUCGGCUAACUCCGUGCCAGCAGCCGCGGUAAUACGGAGGAUGCGAGCGUUAUCCGGAUUUAUUGGGUUUAAAGGGUGUGCAGGCGGAGGUGCAAGUCAGCGGUAAAAUUGCGGGGCUCAACCCCGAAGUGCCGUUGAAACUGGGUGGCUUGAGUGUGCGAGAGGCAGGCGGAAUGCGUGGUGUAGCGGUGAAAUGCAUAGAUAUCACGCAGAACUCCGAUUGCGAAGGCAGCAUACC